Molecule: unclassified non-coding RNA, 221 nt
Filed under: uncultured Tomentella
Lineage: Eukaryota; Fungi; Basidiomycota; Agaricomycetes; Thelephorales; Thelephoraceae
Description: sequence contains ITS2
Source: RNAcentral
ACACCUCAACUCAUUGUGGUUUUCCACGAUGAGCUUGGACUUUGGGGGUUUUGCUGGCCUACAGUCGGCUCCUCUAAAAUAAAUCAGCUUACCAGUGUUUGGUGGGUAUCAUGGGUGUGAUAACUAUCUACGCUUAUGGUUUUUCCACCAGGUAACCUUCAUCAGUGGAGGUUCAUUGGAGCUCAUAGAUGUCUCUCCUCAGUGAGGACAGCCCUUUGAAU